RNAcentral lists this ribosomal RNA (469 nucleotides) under uncultured bacterium. RNAcentral describes it as "partial 16S ribosomal RNA". It matches the Rfam family "Bacterial small subunit ribosomal RNA", at positions 28 to 507 of the family's 1533-position model. The record is from RNAcentral.
GACGAACGCUGGCGGCGUGCUUAACACAUGCAAGUCGAACGGAAAGGCCCUGCUUGCAGGGUGCUCGCGUGGCGAACGGGUGAGUAACACGUGGGUGAUCUGCCCCUUACUUUGGGAUAAGCCUGGGAAACUGGGUCUAAUACUGGAUAGGACCAUGCUGUAGGUGGUGUGGUGGAAAGAUUAGUUUCGGUAAGGGAUGAGCUCGCGGCCUAUCAGCUUGUUGGUGGGGUAAUGGCCUACCAAGGCGUCGACGGGUAGCCGGCCUGAGAGGGUGGACGGCCACAUUGGGACUGAGAUACGGCCCAGAAUCCUACGGGAGGCAGCAGUGGGGAAUAGUGCACAAGGGGCGCAAGCCUGAUGCAGCGACGCCGCGUGGGGGAUGACGGCCUUCGGGUUGUAAACUCCUUUCGGCCAUGACGAAGCGCUUGUGGUGACGGUAGUGGUAGAAGAAGCACCGGCUAACUACGUG